GGUAAAGCACUGUUUCGAUACGGGCUGCGAAAGCGGUACCAAGUCGUGGCAAACUCAGAAUACGGUAGGGGAGCGUUCUACUUCGGGUGAAGCUUUCACGGAAGUGAUGGUGGACGAGGUAGAAGCGAGAAUGUCGGCUUGAGUAACGAAAACAUUGGUGAGAAUCCAAUGCCCCGAAAACCUAAGGGUUCCUUUGCAAGGCUCGUCCGCGAAGGGUGAGUCAGGACCUAAGACUAGGCCAAAAGGCGUCGUCGAUGGCAAACAGGUUAAUAUUCCUGUACUGAUUGUUUUUGUGGUACCGAGGGACGAAGGAGGCUAAGCUGUAGCUGUUUUUGGAUUGCAGCGGAAGCAAUCAAUCACCUGUACCUGAAUCCGACACAGGUAGGUAGGUAGAGAAUACCAAGGGGCGCGAGAGAACUCUCUCUAAGGAACUCGGCAAACUGGCCCCGUAACUUCGGAAGAAGGGGCGCCCUCACUCUUUUAUUAUUAUUAUAUAGGAUGGAGGGUCGCAGUUAUCAGGUUCAGGCGACUGUUUGUAACUAUGACGAUCCUAAGGUAAGCGAAAUUCAUUGCCAAGUAAGUUUUGGCCUGCACGAAAGGCGUAACGAUCUGAACGCUGUCUCGGAGAGAGACUCGGUGAAAUAGACUUGUCCGUGAAGAUGCGGACUCCCUGCACCUGGACAGAAAGACCCUAUGAAGCUUGACUGUAUCCUGGAAUUGGGUUCGGGCUUUUCUUGCGCAGUCUAGGUGGGAGGCGUUGAAGGCUCCUUUCCGGAGGAGCUAGAGCCGUCAUUGAGAGACCACUCUGGAAAGGCUAGAAUCCUAAUGGUGUUCCUUGAAUCAGGACACUUGACAGUUUCAGGGGGGCAGUUUGACUGGGGCGGUCGCCUCCUAAAAGGUAACGGAGGCGUGCAAAGGUUCCCUCAGCCUGGACGGAAAUCAGGCAUUGAGUGUAAAGGCAAAAGGGAGCUUGACUGCAAGACCUACAAGUCGAGCAGGGGCGAAAGCCGGCCUUAGUGAUCCGACGGUGCCGAGUGGAAGGGCCGUCGCUCAACGGAUAAAAGUUACUCUAGGGAUAACAGGCUAAUCUUUUCAGAGAGUCCAUAUCGACGAAAAGGUUUGGCACCUCGAUGUCGGCUUAUCACAACCUGGGGCGGUAGUACGUCCCAAGGGUUGGGCUGUUCGCCCAUUAAAGUGGUACAUGAGCUGGGUUCAGAACGUCGU
Molecule: ribosomal RNA, 1224 nt
Filed under: Fusola viridis
Lineage: Eukaryota; Viridiplantae; Chlorophyta; Chlorophyceae; Sphaeropleales; Cylindrocapsaceae
Description: Elakatothrix viridis partial large subunit ribosomal RNA
Rfam family: Bacterial large subunit ribosomal RNA
Source: RNAcentral